This 2925-nucleotide ribosomal RNA is filed under the name Escherichia coli. RNAcentral describes it as "bacterial LSU rRNA". It matches the Rfam family "Bacterial large subunit ribosomal RNA". The record is from RNAcentral. Lineage: Bacteria; Pseudomonadati; Pseudomonadota; Gammaproteobacteria; Enterobacterales; Enterobacteriaceae.
GGGUUGUGAGGUUAAGCGACUAAGCGUACACGGUGGAUGCCCUGGCAGUCAGAGGCGAUGAAGGACGUGCUAAUCUGCGAUAAGCGUCGGUAAGGUGAUAUGAACCGUUAUAACCGGCGAUUUCCGAAUGGGGAAACCCAGUGUGUUUCGACACACUAUCAUUAACUGAAUCCAUAGGUUAAUGAGGCGAACCGGGGGAACUGAAACAUCUAAGUACCCCGAGGAAAAGAAAUCAACCGAGAUUCCCCCAGUAGCGGCGAGCGAACGGGGAGCAGCCCAGAGCCUGAAUCAGUGUGUGUGUUAGUGGAAGCGUCUGGAAAGGCGCGCGAUACAGGGUGACAGCCCCGUACACAAAAAUGCACAUACUGUGAGCUCGAUGAGUAGGGCGGGACACGUGGUAUCCUGUCUGAAUAUGGGGGGACCAUCCUCCAAGGCUAAAUACUCCUGACUGACCGAUAGUGAACCAGUACCGUGAGGGAAAGGCGAAAAGAACCCCGGCGAGGGGAGUGAAAAAGAACCUGAAACCGUGUACGUACAAGCAGUGGGAGCCUCUUAAUGGGGUGACUGCGUACCUUUUGUAUAAUGGGUCAGCGACUUAUAUUCUGUAGCAAGGUUAACCGAAUAGGGGAGCCGAAGGGAAACCGAGUCUUAACUGGGCGUUAAGUUGCAGGGUAUAGACCCGAAACCCGGUGAUCUAGCCAUGGGCAGGUUGAAGGUUGGGUAACACUAACUGGAGGACCGAACCGACUAAUGUUGAAAAAUUAGCGGAUGACUUGUGGCUGGGGGUGAAAGGCCAAUCAAACCGGGAGAUAGCUGGUUCUCCCCGAAAGCUAUUUAGGUAGCGCCUCGUGAAUUCAUCUCCGGGGGUAGAGCACUGUUUCGGCAAGGGGGUCAUCCCGACUUACCAACCCGAUGCAAACUGCGAAUACCGGAGAAUGUUAUCACGGGAGACACACGGCGGGUGCUAACGUCCGUCGUGAAGAGGGAAACAACCCAGACCGCCAGCUAAGGUCCCAAAGUCAUGGUUAAGUGGGAAACGAUGUGGGAAGGCCCAGACAGCCAGGAUGUUGGCUUAGAAGCAGCCAUCAUUUAAAGAAAGCGUAAUAGCUCACUGGUCGAGUCGGCCUGCGCGGAAGAUGUAACGGGGCUAAACCAUGCACCGAAGCUGCGGCAGCGACACUAUGUGUUGUUGGGUAGGGGAGCGUUCUGUAAGCCUGCGAAGGUGUACUGUGAGGUAUGCUGGAGGUAUCAGAAGUGCGAAUGCUGACAUAAGUAACGAUAAAGCGGGUGAAAAGCCCGCUCGCCGGAAGACCAAGGGUUCCUGUCCAACGUUAAUCGGGGCAGGGUGAGUCGACCCCUAAGGCGAGGCCGAAAGGCGUAGUCGAUGGGAAACAGGUUAAUAUUCCUGUACUUGGUGUUACUGCGAAGGGGGGACGGAGAAGGCUAUGUUGGCCGGGCGACGGUUGUCCCGGUUUAAGCGUGUAGGCUGGUUUUCCAGGCAAAUCCGGAAAAUCAAGGCUGAGGCGUGAUGACGAGGCACUACGGUGCUGAAGCAACAAAUGCCCUGCUUCCAGGAAAAGCCUCUAAGCAUCAGGUAACAUCAAAUCGUACCCCAAACCGACACAGGUGGUCAGGUAGAGAAUACCAAGGCGCUUGAGAGAACUCGGGUGAAGGAACUAGGCAAAAUGGUGCCGUAACUUCGGGAGAAGGCACGCUGAUAUGUAGGUGAAGUCCCUCGCGGAUGGAGCUGAAAUCAGUCGAAGAUACCAGCUGGCUGCAACUGUUUAUUAAAAACACAGCACUGUGCAAACACGAAAGUGGACGUAUACGGUGUGACGCCUGCCCGGUGCCGGAAGGUUAAUUGAUGGGGUUAGCGGUAACGCGAAGCUCUUGAUCGAAGCCCCGGUAAACGGCGGCCGUAACUAUAACGGUCCUAAGGUAGCGAAAUUCCUUGUCGGGUAAGUUCCGACCUGCACGAAUGGCGUAAUGAUGGCCAGGCUGUCUCCACCCGAGACUCAGUGAAAUUGAACUCGCUGUGAAGAUGCAGUGUACCCGCGGCAAGACGGAAAGACCCCGUGAACCUUUACUAUAGCUUGACACUGAACAUUGAGCCUUGAUGUGUAGGAUAGGUGGGAGGCUUUGAAGUGUGGACGCCAGUCUGCAUGGAGCCGGCCUUGAAAUACCACCCUUUAAUGUUUGAUGUUCUAACGUUGGCCCCUGAUCGGGGUUGCGGACAGUGUCUGGUGGGUAGUUUGACUGGGGCGGUCUCCUCCUAAAGAGUAACGGAGGAGCACGAAGGUUGGCUAAUCCUGGUCGGACAUCAGGAGGUUAGUGCAAUGGCAUAAGCCAGCUUGACUGCGAGCGUGACGGCGCGAGCAGGUGCGAAAGCAGGUCAUAGUGAUCCGGUGGUUCUGAAUGGAAGGGCCAUCGCUCAACGGAUAAAAGGUACUCCGGGGAUAACAGGCUGAUACCGCCCAAGAGUUCAUAUCGACGGCGGUGUUUGGCACCUCGAUGUCGGCUCAUCACAUCCUGGGGCUGAAGUAGGUCCCAAGGGUAUGGCUGUUCGCCAUUUAAAGUGGUACGCGAGCUGGGUUUAGAACGUCGUGAGACAGUUCGGUCCCUAUCUGCCGUGGGCGCUGGAGAACUGAGGGGGGCUGCUCCUAGUACGAGAGGACCGGAGUGGACGCAUCACUGGUGUUCGGGUUGUCAUGCCAAUGGCACUGCCCGGUAGCUAAAUGCGGAAGAGAUAAGUGCUGAAAGCAUCUAAGCACGAAACUUGCCCCGAGAUGAGUUCUCCCUGACUCUUUAAGGGUCCUGAAGGAACGUUGAAGACGACGACGUUGAUAGGCCGGGUGUGUAAGCGCAGCGAUGCGUUGAGCUAACCGGUACUAAUGAACCGUGAGGCUUAACCUUACAACGCCGAAG